UACGUAGGGUGCGAGCGUUGUCCGGAAUUAUUGGGCGUAAAGAGCUCGUAGGCGGCUUGUUGCGUCGUCCGUGAAAUCCCAUGGCUCAACUGUGGGCUUGCGGUCGAUACGGGCAGGCUGGAGUUCGGUAGGGGAGACUGGAAUUCCUGGUGUAGCGGUGAAAUGCGCAGAUAUCAGGAGGAACACCGGUGGCGAAGGCGGGUCUCUGGGCCGAUACUGACGCUGAGGAGCGAAAGCGUGGGGAGCGAACAGG
RNAcentral lists this ribosomal RNA (253 nucleotides) under uncultured bacterium. RNAcentral describes it as "partial 16S ribosomal RNA". It matches the Rfam family "Bacterial small subunit ribosomal RNA", at positions 524 to 776 of the family's 1533-position model. The record is from RNAcentral.